UAAGAAUGAACCCGUUGCCUGUUUAACUGC
RNAcentral lists this small RNA (30 nucleotides) under Bombyx mori (domestic silkworm). Its description in RNAcentral is "ovarian small RNA-19131". The record is from RNAcentral. Lineage: Eukaryota; Metazoa; Arthropoda; Insecta; Lepidoptera; Bombycidae.